This 253-nucleotide ribosomal RNA is filed under the name uncultured bacterium. RNAcentral describes it as "partial 16S ribosomal RNA". It matches the Rfam family "Bacterial small subunit ribosomal RNA", at positions 524 to 776 of the family's 1533-position model. The record is from RNAcentral.
UACAGAGGUGGCAAGCGUUGUUCGGAUUUACUGGGCGUAAAGGGUGCGUAGGUGGUUGUCUGUGUCGGGCGUGAAAUCCCAAGGCUCAACCUUGGAAUGGCGCUCGAAACUGGGCGACUUGAGUGCAGGAUGGGAGAGCGGAAUUCUUGGUGUAGCGGUGAAAUGCGUUGAUAUCAAGAAGAACACCGGUGGCGAAGGCGGCUCUCUGGAAUGCAACUGACACUGAGGCACGAAAGCUGGGGGAGCAAACAGG